GAUGAACGCUGGCGGCGUGCCUAAUACAUGCAAGUCGAGCGAACGGACGAGAAGCUUGCUUCUCUGAUGUUAGCGGCGGACGGGUGAGUAACACGUGGAUAACCUACCUAUAAGACUGGGAUAACUUCGGGAAACCGGAGCUAAUACCGGAUAAUAUUUUGAACCGCAUGGUUCAAAAGUGAAAGACGGUCUUGCUGUCACUUAUAGAUGGAUCCGCGCUGCAUUAGCUAGUUGGUAAGGUAACGGCUUACCAAGGCAACGAUGCAUAGCCGACCUGAGAGGGUGAUCGGCCACACUGGAACUGAGGCACGGUCCAGACUCCUACGGGAGGCAGCAGUAGGGAAUAUUCCGCAAUGGGCGAAAGCCUGACGGAGCAACGCCGCGUGAGUGAUGAAGGUCUUCGGAUCGUAAAACUCUGUUAUUAGGGAAGAACAUAUGUGUAAGUAACUGUGCACAUCUUGACGGUACCUAAUCAGAAAGCCACGGCUAACUACGUG
RNAcentral lists this ribosomal RNA (497 nucleotides) under uncultured bacterium. RNAcentral's name for it is "partial 16S ribosomal RNA". It matches the Rfam family "Bacterial small subunit ribosomal RNA", at positions 28 to 507 of the family's 1533-position model. The record is from RNAcentral.